RNAcentral lists this ribosomal RNA (911 nucleotides) under Stylodothis puccinioides. RNAcentral's name for it is "LSU rRNA". It matches the Rfam family "Eukaryotic large subunit ribosomal RNA", at positions 38 to 965 of the family's 3401-position model. The record is from RNAcentral. Lineage: Eukaryota; Fungi; Ascomycota; Dothideomycetes; Dothideales; Dothideaceae.
GCAUAUCAAUAAGCGGAGGAAAAGAAACCAACAGGGAUUGCCCUAGUAACGGCGAGUGAAGCGGCAAUAGCUCAAAUUUGAAAGCUGGCUUAUGGCCCGCAUUGUAAUUUGUAGAGGAUGCUUUUAGGCAGCCGCCGGUCUAAGUUCCUUGGAACAGGACGUCAUAGAGGGUGAGAAUCCCGUAUGUGACCGGCUCUGGCACCUUAUGUAAAGCUCCUUCGACGAGUCGAGUUGUUUGGGAAUGCAGCUCUAAAUGGGAGGUAAAUUUCUUCUAAAGCUAAAUACUGGCGAGAGACCGAUAGCGCACAAGUAGAGUGAUCGAAAGAUGAAAAGCACUUUGGAAAGAGAGUUAAAAAGCACGUGAAAUUGUUGAAAGGGAAGCGCUUGCAAUCAGACUUGGACUUGGCUGUUCAACAGGUCUUCUGACCUGCCUAUUCAGUCUUGUCCAGGCCAGCAUCAGUUUCGGCGGCCGGAUAAAGGCCCUAGGAAUGUGGCUUUCCCUUCGGGGGAAGUGUUAUAGCCUAGGGUGUAAUACGGCCAGCUGGGACUGAGGUCCGCGCUUCGGCUAGGAUGCUGGCGUAAUGGUUGUAAGCGGCCCGUCUUGAAACACGGACCAAGGAGUCUAACAUCUAUGCGAGUGUUAGGGUGUCAAACCCUUACGCGUAAUGAAAGUGAACGGAGGUGAGAACCCGCAAGGGUGCAUCAUCGACCGAUCCUGAUGUCUUCGGAUGGAUUUGAGUAAGAGCAUAGCUGUUGGGACCCGAAAGAUGGUGAACUAUGCCUGAAUAGGGUGAAGCCAGAGGAAACUCUGGUGGAGGCUCGCAGCGGUUCUGACGUGCAAAUCGAUCGUCAAAUUUGGGUAUAGGGGCGAAAGACUAAUCGAAACCAUCUAGUAGCUGGUUCCUGGCGAG